GUGGAGGGGAUGAUAGAGCUGUGUGUAGGUGGAGAGGAUGCUGGAGUUGUGUGUAGGUGGAGGGGAUGAUAGAGUUGUGUGUAGGUGGAGGGGAUGAUAGAGUUGUGUGUAGGUGGAGGGGAUGCUGGAGUUGUGUGUAGGUAGAGGGGAUGAUAGAGUUGUGUGUAGGUGGAGGGGAUGCUGGAGUUGUGUGUAGAUGGAGGGGAUGAUAGAGCUGUGGGUAGGUCGAGGGGAUGAUAGAGCUGUGUGUAGGUGGAGGGGAUGCUGGAGUUGUGUGUAGAUGGAGGGGAUGAUAGAGCUGUGUGUAGGUGGAGGGGACGAUAGAGCUGUGUGUAGGUGGAGGGGAUGAUAGAGUUGUGGGUAGGUGGAGGGGAUGCUGGAGUUGUGGGUAGGUGGAGGGGAUGAUAGAGCUGUGGGUAGGUGGAGGGGAUGAUAGAGCUGUGCGUAG
This 448-nucleotide long non-coding RNA is filed under the name Homo sapiens (human). RNAcentral's name for it is "HSALNT0144733". The record is from RNAcentral. Lineage: Eukaryota; Metazoa; Chordata; Mammalia; Primates; Hominidae.